UAAGGAAUAUUGGACAAUGGGCGGAAGCCUGAUCCAGCCAUGCCGCGUGAAGGACGAAGGCGCUCAGCGUUGUAAACUUCUUUUGGACGGGAACAAUAACCUCGACAAGUCGGGGCUUGAGGGUACCGUCAGAAUAAGCACCGGCUAACUCCGUGCCAGCAGCCGCGGUAAUACGGAGGGUGCAAGCGUUAUCCGGAAUCACUGGGUUUAAAGGGUGCGUAGGCGGUCUGAUAAGUCAGUUGUGAAAUCG
RNAcentral lists this ribosomal RNA (250 nucleotides) under uncultured bacterium. Its description in RNAcentral is "partial 16S ribosomal RNA". It matches the Rfam family "Bacterial small subunit ribosomal RNA", at positions 355 to 602 of the family's 1533-position model. The record is from RNAcentral.